RNAcentral lists this ribosomal RNA (805 nucleotides) under Pseudogymnoascus sp. RNAcentral's name for it is "partial large subunit ribosomal RNA". It matches the Rfam family "Eukaryotic large subunit ribosomal RNA", at positions 85 to 912 of the family's 3401-position model. The record is from RNAcentral. Lineage: Eukaryota; Fungi; Ascomycota; Leotiomycetes; Thelebolales; Thelebolaceae.
AACGGCGAGUGAAGCGGUAACAGCUCAAAUUUGAAAUCUGGCCUCACGGUCCGAGUUGUAAUUUGUAGAGGAUGCUUCGAGCAUGGUCUGGCCUAAGUUCCUUGGAACAGGACGUCAUAGAGGGUGAGAAUCCCGUAUGCGGCCAGGUGCCUACGCUCAUGUGAAGCUCCUUCGACGAGUCGAGUUGUUUGGGAAUGCAGCUCAAAAUGGGUGGUAAAUUUCAUCUAAAGCUAAAUAUUGGCCAGAGACCGAUAGCGCACAAGUAGAGUGAUCGAAAGAUGAAAAGCACUUUGGAAAGAGAGUUAAACAGUACGUGAAAUUGUUGAAAGGGAAGCGCUUGCAACCAGACUUGCGCGCGGCCGAUCAUCCGGUGUUCUCACCGGUGCACUCGGCCGUGCUCAGGCCAGCAUCGGUUUUGGCGGCUGGAUAAAGGCCCUAGGAAUGUAGCUCCUCUCGGGGAGUGUUAUAGCCUAGGGUGCAAUGCAGCCUGCUGGGACCGAGGACCGCGCUUCGGCUAGGAUGCUGGCGUAAUGGUUGUAAGCGGCCCGUCUUGAAACACGGACCAAGGAGUCUAACAUCUAUGCGAGUGUUUGGGUGUCAAACCCAUACGCGUAAUGAAAGUGAACGGAGGUGAGAACCCUUAAGGGUGCAUCAUCGACCGGUCCUGAAGUUUACGGAAGGAUCUGAGUAAGAGCAUAGCUGUUGGGACCCGAAAGAUGGUGAACUAUGCCUGAAUAGGGUGAAGCCAGAGGAAACUCUGGUGGAGGCUCGCAGCGGUUCUGACGUGCAAUCGAUCGUCAAAUUU